ACUCCUACGGGAGGCAGCAGUAGGGAAUCUUCCACAAUGGGCGCAAGCCUGAUGGAGCAACACCGCGUGAGUGGAGAAGGUUUCGGCUCGUAAAGCUCUGUUGUUAAAGAAGAACACGUAUGAGAGUAACUGUUCAUACGUUGACGGUAUUUAACCAGAAAGUCACGGCUAACUACGUGCCAGCAGCCGCGGUAAUACGUAGGUGGCAAGCGUUAUCCGGAUUUAUUGGGCGUAAAAGAGAGUGCAGGCGGUUUUCUAAGUCUGAUGUGAAAGCCUUCGGCUUAACCGGAGAAGUGCAUCGGAAACUGGAUAAACUUGAGUGCAGAAGAGGGUAGUGGAACUCCAUGUGUAGCGGUGG
This 358-nucleotide ribosomal RNA is filed under the name uncultured bacterium. RNAcentral's name for it is "bacterial SSU rRNA". It matches the Rfam family "Bacterial small subunit ribosomal RNA", at positions 335 to 684 of the family's 1533-position model. The record is from RNAcentral.